Molecule: long non-coding RNA, 1183 nt
Organism: Bos indicus x Bos taurus (hybrid cattle)
Lineage: Eukaryota; Metazoa; Chordata; Mammalia; Artiodactyla; Bovidae
Source: Ensembl
UCAACCACUUUAAUCAAUUUAAACAUAUUGGACACAGAAGCAGAAAAGCAUAUUACUUUUGGUAUUUAUUUCACUUUGUCAAGGAUUUCUACUCAUUUGAUAGCUGUGGAAUUCCUUUUUACUUUAAAAAUCUACCUCUAUUAUUUUGAGUCCUAUAUGUCAUGGAUGGGCUUCCCUGGUGGAUCAUCAGUGAAGAAUCUGCCUGCAAUGCAGGGGACUCAGGUUUGAUCCCUAGUUUGGAAAGAUCUCCUGAAGGAGGAAAUGGCUACCACUCCAGUAUUCUUGCCUAGGAAAUUACACGGACAGAGGUGCCUUGCAGGCUAUAGUCCAGGGGAUCACAAAAGACUUGAACACAAAUUAGCGACUAAACAAUAACAGCAGUGUCAAGGAUAUCUCUUGAAUAUUCACAUGAAUUUAAAUAAUUUGUUUUCAGAAUUUUAGUGGGAGAAAAAGAAUAAAAUUUUCUCUUAAAGGAUGAACAUCAGUAUUUUCUAGGUAUAAAAAAUACAUUUUCUGAGAUAUAAUCUCACUAAAAAUGAUUAUUCUGCUUUUUAAAAAUUAUAGAUAACCUAUUUCUUUUCAAAAAGGAUUCUGAGGUUACUUGAUCACAUUGAAGCCAUACCUGCAAACAUGACUCUGCUUUAAGUAUGUUUUUAGUAAAACUCCUUUUACUCUCUUCUUUAGGGUAAAAGAAUCUGCCUGCAAUGCAAGAGACCCAGGUUCAAUCCCUGUGUUGGGAAUGGCAACACCCCCCAAUAUUCUUGCCUGCAGAAUUCCAUGGACAGAGGAGUUUGGCGGGCUGCAGUCCAUGGGGUCACAAAGAGUCGGACAUGACUAAGUGACUAACACUUUCACACUUUGGGGCUCAGGAUAAUGCUUAUGCCAAAGCAGCAUAUUUGGGGUUGCACAUUCUGCUGUCCUUCACUAGAUUCAUGUUUUGUUGAAUGAGCAGAAAGGCAAGUCUUGGGGGAUGAAAUUUUGUUCCCCUUUUAUUUGGAUUACCCAAGCAUCUCUACUGCUUUCUGAUUUCUUUCAAGGAUACCACACUCUCAGACUCAGGAAUGAGGAGGAAAGAGGUAUAAAUGGCUACCCUCUGAGCACAGAAUAGCCAAGAUCUCAGAUAGAGAUAAGGAGCUGUCUAUAGUGGAUAUCCCUAAACACUAAUAAGUGACUCUGAUAAGGG